UUGAAAGAGCAACAUAUAGUUGGACAUGGCUAAAACAUUGGAUUAUGCAAAUAAGCAUUCGUCUUUGACUUUUGUUAAUAGUCAUUGCAUAGCACAGAAGAAGAGGAUAUUGCCUCCGCUUAAGGGUAAAGGGCCAAUUCGGAUGUGUAUAAUCAAGAACAAUACACAGAAUAAUGACCACUGUGUCUUCAUACGAUCCUCCUUCGCCGUAGGCUCACUACCAUAUCUUCCUUUUUCCUUCGCCAUAGGCUCUGUUUCCUUCCCAUUAUUUGGUGGAUUUUAUCAUCAUCCCUGUAAGAUUGUUAUAGUUAGCAUUCAUAGUUUGAAUCCUUAUUUAUCCCCACUUCAUUUAUCUACAAUAAUAUCGUCUAGUAUAAUUAAUAGUACAUAUCAUGAUAAGAGACUUUGACACAAAAACAAAAGUAAGAAAUCACGACAAGAAGACGCUGCAGCUCUCGUUGCCCUAGUUGCACCUCUCCGUCGAGGUUUGUUGCCAACGGCUGCCGUCGCUUUCAUCGCUCGAUCUCGCUGCUUCUUCUCGGAAAAGCCCGUUGCAUUAGAGGAGAGUUUAACCCUAGCCGUCAUCUUCUCCACCCAAUCAUGAGUCAAUGCAAUGGAGCAUGCUCGGGUUCUUCGAACCCCCAGAGAUCCAGCGCGGGUCUUCUCCCCUGUCCGCUGCUCCACCCCUUUCGUUCGGAGCCGUGGGUAGGAUGAAACACGGGUCCCUGCGAAUCAAUCCACCGCUGCAAUCACAGAUCCAUGGGCCACCAAAAAUAUCAUGCCGUUAGUUUCUAUUGGAUGCCGUUAACCGAUUUUGGGUUAGCGCCUCCACGUCAGGUGUUGACCGAUAACGUGGAAUUUCCUUCUUCUCUUUUUCUUCGCCAAUGCCCCUAUAUUAAUUUCCUUCUUCUUUUUUUCUUCGCCAACGCCCCUG
Molecule: long non-coding RNA, 934 nt
Filed under: Linum usitatissimum (flax)
Lineage: Eukaryota; Viridiplantae; Streptophyta; Magnoliopsida; Malpighiales; Linaceae
Description: long non-coding RNA (LUSI_LNC006009)
Source: RNAcentral